RNAcentral lists this ribosomal RNA (639 nucleotides) under uncultured actinomycete. RNAcentral's name for it is "bacterial SSU rRNA". It matches the Rfam family "Bacterial small subunit ribosomal RNA", at positions 232 to 885 of the family's 1533-position model. Lineage: Bacteria; Bacillati; Actinomycetota; Actinomycetes; Actinomycetales. The record is from RNAcentral.
CGCGGCCUAUCAGCUUGUUGGAGAGGUAACGGCUCACCAAGGCAUCGACGGGUAGCUGGUCUGAGAGGAUGAUCAGCCACACUGGGACUGAGACACGGCCCAGACUCCUACGGGAGGCAGCAGUGGGGAAUCUUGCACAAUGGGCGAAAGCCUGAUGCAGCAACGCCGCGUGCGGGAAGAAGGCCCUAGGGUUGUAAACCGCUUUCAGUAGGGAAGAAAAUGACGGUACCUACAGAAGAAGGUGCGGCCAACUACGUGCCAGCAGCCGCGGUGACACGUAGGCACCAAGCGUUAUCCGGAUUUAUUGGGCGUAAAGAGCUCGUAGGCGGUUUGGUAAGUCGGGUGUGAAAACUCUGGGCUCAACCCAGAGAGGCCACCCGAUACUGCUAUGACUAGAGUACGGUAGGGGAGCGGGGAAUUCAUGGUGUAGCGGUGAAAUGCGCAGAUAUCAUGAGGAACACCAGCGGCGAAGGCGCCGCUCUGGGCCGUAACUGACGCUGAGGAGCGAAAGCAUGGGUAGCAGACAGGAUUAGAUACCCUGGUAGUCCAUGCCGUAAACGUUGGGCACUAGGUGUGGGUCUCAACCAACGAGAUCCGCGCCGUCGCUAACGCAUUAAGUGCCCCGCCUGGGGAGUACGG